Molecule: ribosomal RNA, 701 nt
Filed under: Burkholderia vietnamiensis
Lineage: Bacteria; Pseudomonadati; Pseudomonadota; Betaproteobacteria; Burkholderiales; Burkholderiaceae
Description: bacterial SSU rRNA
Rfam family: Bacterial small subunit ribosomal RNA
Source: RNAcentral
GUCGAACGGCAGCACGGGUGCUUGCACCUGGUGGCGAGUGGCGAACGGGUGAGUAAUACAUCGGAACAUGUCCUGUAGUGGGGGAUAGCCCGGCGAAAGCCGGAUUAAUACCGCAUACGAUCUAUGGAUGAAAGCGGGGGACCUUCGGGCCUCGCGCUAUAGGGUUGGCCGAUGGCUGAUUAGCUAGUUGGUGGGGUAAAGGCCUACCAAGGCGACGAUCAGUAGCUGGUCUGAGAGGACGACCAGCCACACUGGGACUGAGACACGGCCCAGACUCCUACGGGAGGCAGCAGUGGGGAAUUUUGGACAAUGGGCGAAAGCCUGAUCCAGCAAUGCCGCGUGUGUGAAGAAGGCCUUCGGGUUGUAAAGCACUUUUGUCCGGAAAGAAAUCCUUGGCUCUAAUACAGUCGGGGGAUGACGGUACCGGAAGAAUAAGCACCGGCUAACUACGUGCCAGCAGCCGCGGUAAUACGUAGGGUGCAAGCGUUAAUCGGAAUUACUGGGCGUAAAGCGUGCGCAGGCGGUUUGCUAAGACCGAUGUGAAAUCCCCGGGCUCAACCUGGGAACUGCAUUGGUGACUGGCAGGCUAGAGUAUGGCAGAGGGGGGUAGAAUUCCACGUGUAGCAGUGAAAUGCGUAGAGAUGUGGAGGAAUACCGAUGGCGAAGGCAGCCCCCUGGGCCAAUACUGACGCUCAUGCACG